RNAcentral lists this ribosomal RNA (465 nucleotides) under Vreelandella stevensii. Its description in RNAcentral is "partial 16S ribosomal RNA". It matches the Rfam family "Bacterial small subunit ribosomal RNA", at positions 338 to 795 of the family's 1533-position model. The record is from RNAcentral. Lineage: Bacteria; Pseudomonadati; Pseudomonadota; Gammaproteobacteria; Oceanospirillales; Halomonadaceae.
CCUACGGGAGGCUGCAGUGGGGAAUAUUGGACAAUGGGCGAAAGCCUGAUCCAGCCAUGCCGCGUGUGUGAAGAAGGCCUUCGGGUUGUAAAGCACUUUCAGUGGGGAAGAAAGCCUUGGGGCUAAUACCCUCGAGGAAGGACAUCACCCACAGAAGAAGCACCGGCUAACUCCGUGCCAGCAGCCGCGGUAAUACGGAGGGUGCGAGCGUUAAUCGGAAUUACUGGGCGUAAAGCGCGCGUAGGCGGUCUGAUAAGCCGGUUGUGAAAGCCCCGGGCUCAACCUGGGAACGGCAUCCGGAACUGUCAGGCUAGAGUGCAGGAGAGGAAGGUAGAUUUCCCGGUGUAGCGGUGAAAUGCGUAGAGAUCGGGAGGAAUACCAGUGGCGAAGGCGGCCUUCUGGACUGACACUGACGCUGAGGUGCGAAAGCGUGGGUAGCAAACAGGAUUAGAUACCCCUGUAGUC